This 881-nucleotide ribosomal RNA is filed under the name uncultured bacterium. RNAcentral's name for it is "bacterial SSU rRNA". It matches the Rfam family "Bacterial small subunit ribosomal RNA", at positions 8 to 853 of the family's 1533-position model. The record is from RNAcentral.
AGAGUUUGAUCAUGGCUCAGGACGAACGCUGGCGGCGUGCCUAAUACAUGCAAGUCGAACGAACUCUGGUAUUGAUUGGUGCUUGCAUCAUGAUUUACAUUUGAGUGAGUGGCGAACUGGUGAGUAACACGUGGGAAACCUGCCCAGAAGCGGGGGAUAACACCUGGAAACAGAUGCUAAUACCGCAUAACAACUUGGACCGCAUGGUCCGAGCUUGAAAGAUGGCUUCGGCUAUCACUUUUGGAUGGUCCCGCGGCGUAUUAGCUAGAUGGUGGGGUAACGGCUCACCAUGGCAAUGAUACGUAGCCGACCUGAGAGGGUAAUCGGCCACAUUGGGACUGAGACACGGCCCAAACUCCUACGGGAGGCAGCAGUAGGGAAUCUUCCACAAUGGACGAAAGUCUGAUGGAGCAACGCCGCGUGAGUGAAGAAGGGUUUCGGCUCGUAAAACUCUGUUGUUAAAGAAGAACAUAUCUGAGAGUAACUGUUCAGGUAUUGACGGUAUUUAACCAGAAAGCCACGGCUAACUACGUGCCAGCAGCCGCGGUAAUACGUAGGUGGCAAGCGUUGUCCGGAUUUAUUGGGCGUAAAGCGAGCGCAGGCGGUUUUUUAAGUCUGAUGUGAAAGCCUUCGGCUCAACCGAAGAAGUGCAUCGGAAACUGGGAAACUUGAGUGCAGAAGAGGACAGUGGAACUCCAUGUGUGGCGGUGAAAUGCGUAGAUAUAUGGAAGAACACCAGUGGCGAAGGCGGCUGUCUGGUCUGUAACUGACGCUGAGGCUCGAAAGUAUGGGUAGCAAACAGGAUUAGAUACCCUGGUAGUCCAUACCGUAAACGAUGAAUGCUAAGUGUUGGAGGGUUUCCGCCCUUCAGUGCUGCAGCU